Peromyscus californicus insignis is the source of this 5737-nucleotide long non-coding RNA. RefSeq lists it as uncharacterized. Lineage: Eukaryota; Metazoa; Chordata; Mammalia; Rodentia; Cricetidae. The transcript is spliced from 6 exons. The record is from RefSeq and is a predicted model, not a curated record.
CUCUUCCAACAGCUAGUUCCAGCAGGGAGCAUAUGGGUCCCUCCCUCCUUUCGCCCCCUUCCUCCGAGCUCUUACUUCGCUCCUAGAGCCUUUCCCACCCUUUCCCUUUCCCUUCUUUCCUUCUCUCUCCCUUCACCUGCCGCGAUCCCUCUCCCUCUCCGCUGUCUACCACUAAUCUCCUCCAGUCCACCUUAACUGGAGCUCCGCCUCUGACCCCCGUCCAGCCCUCUGCUGCUGCCCAGCUCCACCCCCUGCACGCCACCGCCCUGCCCGCCCAUUGGCCUGAACACCCGCCUAUCCCAUUUGGGACGCGCCUAGGGUUCAUCCAGGGAGUGGGUGGAGCUUGGGGCUGGCCUGAACCCAGAAGGGGAGGGAGGCCGGAGACAGAGUCCGCAGUGGCCAGGGAAUGGAGCAGCCCCCUCAGGGACUUCCUCUCCUUCCAGAGGGGCUUCUGUGGGGCCAGCACCUGGGGAGGGAAGGGGAGGAGAGGUUACGGAUAGGCUCCGUGGCAUGAAGACCUAGCAUCGAAAAGGAGUGGGGUCCCGCUAGGGGCUUUAAUCAGGUCAGAGCCCCAGGAGGGCAGGGGAGAAGGCCACCAGACACUCCGCUGCGGGCCCUGGGCCCAUCCCCCCCUCCGAGGGAGCGGGGGAGUCGAGGCUGCCGGCACUCUGUGUCCCUCCCCACGCGUGACGGCGCCCCGCGCGCGGGGAGGGAACAGUGCCCGGGGCAAGGAGCCUCUGCGCUCUCGCCAGUGCCCGUGGCUGCCCUGGCAUUUGCAGCGGGGAGGGACCGAGUCUGGGAAGGGGAAGGGGGAGGUGCGCGCCCUCUCGGGCUCCGGCUCUUUGCCUUCCUCCGGCCUGUUCCCCACUAAAGUGGGGAAACUGAGACCCCCACCGUGGAAGGAAGGAACGCCUUGACGCAGUCUCACUCAGACGCCCAGGUGGCGAUAGAGGCCUGGCUGGCUUAGGAUGUCUGCUUGUGGGUAGUCGGGAAGGACCUGCGUUCGUCUUUCAGUGCCCAGCCAACCGAGAAAGGUAGCUUCGGAGGGACGCUUCCCACGGGGCCGGCGGUGCUACGUACCCCCAAAGGGCCCCUCCUACUGGUCUCAAACGGAAUCAAACCCCGCUCUCUCGGACCAGGUCCGGCUUCGCAGCGGCGGGCCAGGCCGAACCGGGUCGGACUUGUCCUCCCUUCCCAGCCCCCUGCGCAGGGGGCCUCCCGCCCUUUCCAGCAGGUGGCUCCGCAGGACACCAGCUCAACCUGUUGGACCACAAUGGGCGGCGCCAGGGGGCCCUGGCCCUCACCCGGGCUGACCCGGGAUCCCCGCGCAGGGGGAGGGGCGGAGUCGGUCCUUCCCUCCCUCCCUCUCUCUCCUUCUCCCUGUGACGUGACUCAGCCUCGAGGCCGCUGCUCUGCCCCUCAGCCAGGGGCGGAAAGUGUGAGGCGCCCCGGAGGGCUGAGGCCAAACCAAACAGCCCCCCAUCCCAGACAUUAUCUCACUGGAGAAUUAGGGGGGCAAUAGGGACCAGUGGAUAGCAGUCGGCAUGGGAAGCGCUGGCUCAAGUAAUCCGUUCCGGGUUUUCCUAUCGUUUCUGUCCUGUUCCCCCGCCCCCGCCCCCCAGCCAGCCCAGGGUCAAGUCUGAUCUUUGCUCCAGGUUUUCUUAGCAACCCCGCCGGACUGUUUCCAGUCGGGAGGAUUCCGAGCAAGAUGUGUCUGGGCUGGGUUUUUUCCCUUCCUCGCUGUCAGGGUCUCGCUGAGCAGGGAAUGGGCCAUGCCAGGGGCAAGGCGGCAGUGGAGAUGCCCAAGGAAAACGGAGAGCAAACUGUUUUCAGGAGAAGGGUACAAGACCAGGGAAAGGAUUUGGGGGAGGGUAGGACAGUGGUCCAGGACUCCAGAAGGACGAGAGUCUUGUCACUUAGCUCCCGAGGACCCAGACGCGGACAGCUCUGCUGUCCCCUGCCCCUGGAGUUGCAUCUGACUGGACACAACCCGGAUCUUUUGCGGCUGGAUUGCCAUCCUCCAGCAGUCCUGGAAAUCUACUGUUCGUUCCUCAGUGACUCUUUUCCAUGCUUUUCUUGUAGCACAAAUAGUUCCCUUUCAUGUUAGGGGGGCACCGACUGGAAAUCCCUGCUUACUCCCUAACUUUGGCCCCUAACUGCCAAACCAGAGACAGAGAUGUCCGGGGAGCGCUGGUGGGACCCCGCCCCCUUAUAGGGAGCCCGGCGCCCCCCAUGCCAGUCUGCUGUCCACCUGAACUGGUACUGGGAACUGGAAGGCAAGUGUGGGGUCCGCAGGGGGUUCCGGGUGAGCGCCCCGCCCCUCCCCCGUCCUCACUCUCAGACUUAAAUCUUCAGGCAACUUUCUAGAUUCUAGACUUUUAAUGUAGGAGGAAAGUAGGUGAGUAAACACCCCGAGAGGAAGGUGUUUGUCCUGAGAAGGAUAAUAGCCCAAGCAAGAAGGACUUUAUACCCAAGGCUGGGGACAGCGACUCUGAGUGGCGGCCUGGUUCCGAGACUGGCUGGUCCAAGUACACUGAGGAGUGGCUGCUGAGAGGGUACAAGGGUGUAGAGUCCCGGAGGAAGAGUGCAGUGGGCGGCUGGAGGCGAGGCUCUCCUUGGCAGGGUCCUAAAGUGAGUCUGGGGGCCCGUUUCUGGUUGGGGGGUGCUGAGCAGAAAGCGGCUCCUCCGCGGGCCCCAGGCGCCCACCUAGUCUCUGCUCCCCCGCCCCUUUCCCGCGGCUGCCUCCGCUUCCCUCGAAAAACCCGCCGCCCAGGAAACCGCUGGGGGCGCUCAGACCGCAGCCCCCCCUGCCGCCGCCCCCCAGAACCCCCACCGCGACCGCCCAACCCACCUGAAGAGGCGGUGGCUGCCGGGGGUACUCCCUCCUGCCGACUCCCCCCACACCUGCGGGUAGCACUAUUUAUAACUGCGUGCCUAUUCUGGGCCUCUCGGCUGGAGCCCGCAGCAGCGCUGUGCUAAUCGCCCCUGGGAUCUCUGCGCCCCCCAGGGCUGGGGGAGGUAAAUUUAGCUUCAGGAAGCUCCGGGGAACGUUUUCCAAAACUCCACGUCCCAGAGCAGGCAAAACAGAACCCCUCUGCGCGCGGCCUGCUUCCUACUCGCCACCAGGGGGCGCUAGGCUCCUAAAUCCCAGCCAGCUAGGGGUGUAGGGUAGCGGUCCCGAAAGCCAGGCCGGGUGGAUAAGGAGCUGAGGAUGGCUACAGAUGCUAAUGGAUGAACUUCAGCAGGACGGAAAAAGACUGUGGAGUCUGAGAGCCACCUAGAAAAGGGGCCAGAAGGUUUCUGAAUACGAAUGGAGAAAUAACUCAUAUGUAAACGAAAUGCAAAUGAGAGGGAGGGUGUUUGCCAGCCUCCUCUCUCCAGGUGUCUCUUGGUCGGCUGUGAAAAAUGUGGGACCGGCCCCCUCAGCCCUCAAACUCAUUUUAUGGUGAUCCCUUUCUUACCUCUGUGUGUCCCGCCCUCACCUCUGUGUCUCCCACUCUACCCAAGGUUGCAAAUGGGGUGUAAUCUGUAGAAGAGCUUUUCUCUUGCCGUGAUACUUGAAGGUCACUUCUAGCUUGUUGGUCUGUUCCAUUUCAACCCCAACUAUUUCCUUACCCCUUAUGGCUGCUAGAGGGCCCCAAGGUGCCCAGGGGUAAGCAGUAACUCCCCUUUCUGUCUUGGUAUCUUGCUUCUCUGCCCACCCUAUCCCUGGCAUGAGCUCCUGAAGCAAUAGUUUGAGUGUUGAAGACCUGAGCAGCUAUUUUUGAGAGCGCAUUGGAAGAAGUUGUUACAUUUCCUUUUCCCUUCUAGAAGAAUGUGGACGUUGUUGGUCAGGAAAACUAUUCUAGUCUGGAUGGGUUAAACAAAAGGUAUUUGGACGGGACCUUAAGUUGAUCCAAGGUGCAAAGGACACAGUGAGCCUAGAGCUUUGAUGGGAAACCGAGGGGGGGGGGUAGGGGGGUGGUGCAGCUUAAGAGAGAUGCCUCCACACUUGCAUGGCUUUGCCUCCUAGGGCAACUUAACCAUUUCUAUCAGAAGAGGAAGGCAGAUUAACGAGGAACUCUGGUUUUGACUGUCUUUUCUUCUUUUUUGUUUAGACGAGAGUAUUGCUAUAUUGCCCGUGCUGUUCUCCAGCUGCUAGGAUCAAACAGUGGGCUCCAGAGUCAGCCUCCAAAAUGGCUCGGGGAAAAUAGCACGUGCUACCAGCCUGGUCAGCCCUAAAGUUGAGAUCUGAAAAUUUCUGAGAUAGGGUUUCAUCACUCUCAAGCCUGCCUACUCUUUUGGUGUACCUUUGCUCCUGAGCACACAGACACACAAGUGUGGAUGUCAGAGGACAGCCUGCAGGAGAUUCUCUCCUUCCAUCAUGUACUGAACUGUAAACAUGAGCUGCCACACCCAGCUUGAAGUAGAUGUUUGUGAGAAGAGACAAAGCAUCAUCUACUCUAGAAAGUGUGUCCGGACUGUGACACGUCUCCACUGAAGCCUUUCCAGCUGCUGCUCUCCUUGGGCCUGUCAGUCUUCAGUCCUUUCCUUCUACCAGCUCCCCACUCCCUGUCCCACCAGAGCACACGGCCCUGGCCUCUGCUCCUGUGUCCACCACUUCCCUAGGAGUCUGCCAAGCAUCCUCUCCUCUGGCAAAAGCCUUUGUGUUCAGACCUCAGACUCUGGGGUCCACGUCUAGGCACUGCCCAGCUUAAAUCGCGUAGGACUUAGAGGCCAGGGCUGAAUUAGGUAGGGUAGGAGCUGGCCAGGCAGAAUGCAGUCUCUAGGGGAAGGAGAGCCCCUGGGUCAGCAGGAAGGUGGACUCUCGGCCCACAUGAGUCAGACCUUACUCCCUCUGCAGUGCUGGGGGUGGGGGGAGAGGGAGGGCUCAGAAGGAACCAGGCGGCAGUUCUGACCUGCAUGUUUCAGGUGUUUAGAGGGGUCCUGAGCAGAUAUGGUGGCUUAUCCUUCUAAUCCCAGGACUGGGGAGGCUGAGGCAGGAGGAUUGCCACAAGUUUGAGGGCAGCUAGGAUUACAGAGUGAGAACCUGACUCAAAAAUCAAAUCAAAAGCUCAAGCUCUAACUUAUCCUACAUGUCUUGGUUUAUAUUCACCUCCAGAUCAUUUUCCUGUUUCUCUAUCACCAAAUAAUGUCUGUAUACUUAACUACAGUUUGAUGGGGUUUCCUGCCUAGGAGAAUACAGGCUCCACAGAACUGAGGACCGAACACAGGCCUUGCGCUUGCUAGGCGAGCACUCUACCACUGAGCUAAAUCUCCAACCCCUACUUUUUCUUUAGACAGAUUUCCUAUGUAGCCACCGAUGACUUGGGAGUAUACAGUCAGCAUGGUGAUGUACUGGGUCUUGCUGUGUUCGCCCAGGCUGUCCUCUAAUUCAUUAUGGAGCAGCUGGCCUUAAACUUACAAUCCUGCUUCAACAUCCCGAGGGCUGGGGUCACAGCCUCCUUUCACAUUGUUCCCGCCCACCUCCAGGUCCAACCAAAUCUUCGUCUCUCAGGUUUUUCUCAUUUGUUCAAGGACCCUUUUUCUCUGACCCAAGAUCAAAGCUGCUAUCUCUGGGGUGGAAUCCCCCUCGGCCUCAUUAUCUCACCUACAAUCACCUGUUUACAGCUAACCCAUUUGCUGAACCAUUACUUCCUCAAGGUAGCGCAACCUGUUCUGAUAAGCUGUAACAACCCCAGCACCCGGCGCAGUGCUGGUGAAAGGUGGUAAUCAGUAGUUACAUGGAAGAAUGCAU